RNAcentral lists this transfer RNA (74 nucleotides) under Stegodyphus mimosarum. It matches the Rfam family "tRNA". Rfam says of the family: Transfer RNA (tRNA) molecules are approximately 80 nucleotides in length. Their secondary structure includes four short double-helical elements and three loops (D, anti-codon, and T loops). The record is from Rfam by way of RNAcentral. Lineage: Eukaryota; Metazoa; Arthropoda; Arachnida; Araneae; Eresidae.
GCCUUCGUAGUGUUAGUGGUGAGCACGCUGGACACGUGUUCCAGAGGGCCGUGGUUCGAGUCCCGGCGAAGGCA